UACGGAGGGUGCAAGCGUUACUCGGAAUCACUGGGCGUAAAGGGCGCGUAGGCGGGAUAGCAAGUCAGUCGUGAAAUGCCGAGGCUUAACCUCGGAGCUGCGAUUGAAACUGUUAUUCUUGAGUAUCGGAGAGGAAAGCGGAAUUCCUAGUGUAGCGGUGAAAUGCGUAGAUAUUAGGAGGAACACCAGUGGCGAAGGCGGCUUUCUGGACGACAACUGACGCUGAGGCGCGAAAGUGUGGGGAGCAAACAGG
RNAcentral lists this ribosomal RNA (253 nucleotides) under uncultured Clostridium sp. RNAcentral describes it as "partial 16S ribosomal RNA". It matches the Rfam family "Bacterial small subunit ribosomal RNA", at positions 524 to 776 of the family's 1533-position model. Lineage: Bacteria; Bacillati; Bacillota; Clostridia; Eubacteriales; Clostridiaceae. The record is from RNAcentral.